RNAcentral lists this ribosomal RNA (439 nucleotides) under uncultured bacterium. RNAcentral's name for it is "partial 16S ribosomal RNA". It matches the Rfam family "Bacterial small subunit ribosomal RNA", at positions 338 to 794 of the family's 1533-position model. The record is from RNAcentral.
CCUACGGGAGGCAGCAGUGAGGAAUUUUGCGCAAUGGGCGAAAGCCUGAUCUAGCAACGCCGCGUGGACGAUGAAGGCCUUCGGGUCGUAAAGUCCUUUUCUGUGGGAAGAUCGUGACGGUACCACAGGAAUAAGCAUCGGCUAACUACGUGCCAGCAGCCGCGGUAAUACGUAGGAUGCAAGCGUUGUCCGGAUUUAUUGGGCGUAAAGAGUGCGUAGGCGGCUUCUUAAGUGGGGCGUGAAAUCCCCCGGCUAAACCGGGGAGGGUCGUCCUAAACUGGGGGGCUGGAGGGUAGAAGAAGAGAGCGGAAUUCCCGGUGUAGGGGUAAAAUGCGUAGAUAUCGGGAGGAACACCUGUGGCGAAGGCGGCUCUCGGAAUUGCGACUGACGCUGAGGCGCGAAAGCUAGGGGAGCAAACAGGAUUAGAUCCCCUAGUAGU